GCCGCGGUAAUACGGAGGGUGCAAGCGUUAAUCGGAAUUACUGGGCGUAAAGCGCACGCAGGCGGUCUGUCAAGUCGGAUGUGAAAUCCCCGGGCUCAACCUGGGAACUGCAUUCGAAACUGGCAGGCUUGAGUCUUGUAGAGGGGGGUAGAAUUCCAGGUGUAGCGGUGAAAUGCGUAGAGAUCUGGAGGAAUACCGGUGGCGAAGGCGGCCCCCUGGACAAAGACUGACGCUCAGGUGCGAAAGCGUGGGGAGCAAACAGGAUUAGAUACCCUGGUAGUCCACGCCGUAAACGAUGUCUACUUGGAGGUUGUGCCCUUGAGGCGUGGCUUCCGGAGCUAACGCGUUAAGUAGACCGCCUGGGGAGUACGGCCGCAAGGUUAAAACUCAAAUGAAUUGACGGGGGCCCGCACAAGCGGUGGAGCAUGUGGUUUAAUUCGAUGCAACGCGAAGAACC
Molecule: ribosomal RNA, 457 nt
Filed under: Salmonella enterica
Lineage: Bacteria; Pseudomonadati; Pseudomonadota; Gammaproteobacteria; Enterobacterales; Enterobacteriaceae
Also listed under: 2 other names
Description: bacterial SSU rRNA
Rfam family: Bacterial small subunit ribosomal RNA
Source: RNAcentral